This 8214-nucleotide long non-coding RNA is filed under the name Sus scrofa (pig). RNAcentral's name for it is "lncRNA (ENSSSCG00035030611.1)". The record is from RNAcentral. Lineage: Eukaryota; Metazoa; Chordata; Mammalia; Artiodactyla; Suidae.
AUAAUUCAUUCAUUUAAAAUGUACAAUUCAGUGUUUUUUGGUGUAUUUACAGAGUUGUGCGUGUGUCACUGCCAUCAGUUUUAGAAUAUUUUUAUUAGCCCCAGCAGGUCCACACUCCUUGGCCCUCACCUCAGUUACCCCUUCUCCCAGCCCUGGGCAACCACUGGCCUGCUUUCUCUAUUAGUGGAUUUGCUGGUUCUGGACAUUCCCUAUAAACCGAUGGUGCAACAUGUGGUCUUUUGUAUCCGGCUUCUUUCACUUAGCAGAAUGUUAUCAAGGCUCAUCCCGGUUGUAACAUAUAUCAGUGCUUUGCGGUUUUCUCUUUUUCUCUUUUCUUUUCUUUUUUGGCUCUGCCCGUGGCAUGUGGAAGUUCCCAGGCCAGGGAUUGAACUUGUGCCGUAGCACCGACCCAAGCCUUUGCCGUGACAACACCAGAUCCUCAACCCGCUGCACCAUAGAAGAAUUCCAGUACUUUGUUUCUUUUUAUGACUUCAUAAUAUUCCUUUGUGUGGAUGUACCACAUUCAGUGCAUCCAUUCAUCACUUGACGAGCAUCUGAACUGUUUGCAGUUUCUGGCUGUUAGGAGUCAUGCUGCUCUGAGCAUCUGUGUACAUGUCUUAGAGUGGAUUGUCUUUCCAUUGCACUGUUUUUUUAGAGCAUGUCCUAAGCAGUAUCGCCUCAGCCAUCAGGGAAGUGUCUUAAAAUGUUUGGCAUCAGAGAUAAGUCAUUAUUCCAAAGUGGACAGCUCUGGGUCAGGGGCCAGGAGACCUGGGGGACCCUGUGCACCUGCUGGUUGUCCUCGGACUGUGAGUGGCUCAGCUCUUGAGAAGAAGGAAAGCACUCACAGCUCCUCUCCUAGGCCUCCUGCUUCUAGAGAUCACGCACUUUGCGAGAGAGGUGGUGCCAUGCUCCUGGAUCCCUACAAGACAUCAGUAUUGUUUGUGUGAUGAAUGAGUCCACGCCGUGGCUAUUGAAUGUAUUUGCACCUUCUAACAGUGUCGUCUUGCCUGUGUCGCUGACUGGUUUUGAGAUUUAUGAGGCCUCACUCAGAAGCAAUGUGUGUCUGGAUUAAGGGAACCUGAGAAUCACUAUUUAUGUCUGACCCGAGGAAAUUCCCUUUAAGCUGCUUAUCAGAGGUGCAUGCUGAGAGCAUGAUGGGAAGAUGGAGUCUUCCAUCCGCUGGCAAAAUCUGGAAUCUGCUCUCACUCCAUUUUAACUGGAGUGACAAUAAGCUAACAGACCCAUAGGUCUACCUGGAAGUAUCUGCUGACAGCUUCACUUUUGUAAAUUGAGUUGAAAAACUACCUGUGCUCUAAUUCUGAUUUUUCCCGAUACUCCAAGUCUUCAGUGUGGAUUAAAACAUCAUCCCUUUUUGUAAAAAUCAAAACAAAGCAACUUUGAUCUAGGUGAUUUAGGAGAAACUAAAUAUGCCUCUAAUUUCACUACCAGUAUAGUGAAUAUUUAUUUUCCACUUAAAGGGCUAUCAGUGCUCCACGAUUUUUGCAUUUGCAAUUUGAAAGCUACCAGAAAAUUUCCACAUUAUUAAAAAAUUAAGUUUCUCUCGAAAAUAUUCCCUGUGCAGACGCUAACACAUGUGUAUGCACUAUUUCACCACCAGGGGGCAUUGUGGUUUGACUGUCCAUUUAAACAGCCCACAUUCUAUCAGUUUACCCAGGAAAUAGAAGGCCUGGGCAUAUUUCUGAUUCCUUCCAAGAAGGAGCCAUAUCUGGGAGAGAACAGAUGUCGAUUCUUUUUCCUUACUAGCAAACGGUAGUGUUGUCAAAUUUGCUAAACUUAGCCAGUCGAAGAUUAACAUGCAGUAUAUAAUAUGCAUGUGCCUAACUGUACAAUAAGUAGUAAAUCACAUUUUUAUGCUUUCUCUGAACUUGGAAGCUGCAAGUUAUUUUUUUUUUUAUUCCCUGGGUGUGAUGAAAUAAAUAACAUUCAAAUACAUUUUAAAGAUGUCAGUCAGCGGGGGGAAAAAAAAGUGCUUGGCAACUGUGUUUAAUAGAUUUCUUUUAUGAUUAAUUCUCCUAUUAAGUUUUAAUGACUUUAAAGAUAUAAAGCUAGAAACCACAAAACUAGGCAUGGUUAAUAAAUAACUGAAAUUCCAGGUGUAUAGAAAUGCAUGUGUGGAAAAAUGAAAUCGUAUAUUCUCUAGGAUGUAUGAGGAAACGGCUCUCUGGAGAGUCUAGAGAGUCAAAUAUCCCCAAAAGGGAGGGGACAAGUUUAAAAACAGGGAACUCAAGGAGAUUGUCUUCCUUUAGGAAAAUCCUAGGAAAAACGUACUCUCUAAGAUUAACCAAUGUAAAGUAAAUUAUCUUACGAGCCAGUAAUUUUCAGCAAGAUGGUGGUUCUCUUGGAUGGAAUGCAUUUCUCCAUUUUGGCUUUUUAAAGUGUCUCUGUCCACAAUUUCAAGUAUUUCUCCCAGUUCCUCUUCACACUUUUCUCCCCAGGCUCAUCUGGCCUGGAAGAUGUGUGCUGAUUCAUUGUUUUGUAAAUGUUCAAAAGCCUGCCUGGUCCCAGGAGUGGGGAUCGGAGUGGCAGUAUUUCAGCAAUGCUCUCUCUCUCUCUCUUCUUCCUCCUGCACCCAGAAUGUAUGAACCAGGACUCAGCUCCUGCACAGAACAUCUCUGGGAGUCGGGGAGAAUUGAAGAAUCAAUUCUAGUUUCCACGUGGCAGGAGUGAGGCUUGCCUGGGGCUGGCGGGGUCCCCCACUCCCUGAAACACCCCCUCCACGUCCGAGCCUGUGUGUUCACGCUGGGGGCCUCUGCAGCAAGCACAGCUGGAUUUUUUACUUUCUAGACCAUCUCAAUUCGAGGUCUUAAACUGAACAGUUUAGAAACCAAACAGACAUGAAUCAACAUGAAGAAUAACUGGGAAGAGUUACGGGGCCCCCAGAAGAAUGUAUAAAUGUGUGUGUUUUUGUAUCUGGUUAUGUGUAUGUUUUCAUGCCUCAAAAGAGACACAUGGUAUAUUUCAAUCCAUUCCCGCCACGAAGGACUUUUAUUCUUGAGUGUUUCCGAGUCCCCAAAGCACAAUAGAUGCCAUUUGGAACCUUCACACGAGGCAGCCCCCACACUUCAGAACUUCAAGUCGAAAGAUCUUUUAAGUCCACAAAACUUAUUUUUCAAAGAUCUUGGCCCAUUCCAAAUGAAUACUGAUUCCCAGCCUCUCAAAUGCCUGGAGUGAGAAAACAGGGAAUAUUGUUCUUUUCUGUUUAUAUUAUUUCAUACUGAGUUAAUACACUUGCCAAGAGUCCAGUCCCUUCUAAUCUGCGCUGUUGUUGUAAACACUGGAGAAGCGGGAUCUUUCUAGCAAGGGCAGUGUUAUCUGGAAUAAAAUGUUAGCCCUGAGAGUGCUCUCGUGUUCCGCCAACAGCGAGCCGGAGAGCAGAGGAGGGAGAGUCAGAACGUGGGGUAUGUGGCAGAGACGGUGCAAGCCAUCUCUGUGUGUCGACCCCGUCUUUAAAGGCAAGAUUAACAGCGAUACAUAAAUAUAAAUGUUUCUUUCUGGCCAAGCACCGCAGAUUAGAUUUCACAUUCGAAAUGUAAAUCGUGCCUAGGAAACAUCGAUGUUUAUUUUCAGCAACUGACCCUCGGGGAUAAAAAUAAAAAGGAAAAGGGAAACAAACAAAACCGGGUUACUGACAAGCUGUAGGAUGCUCUAUUUUAUAUCUCACAGAUAUUUUACAGCUCUGGCAUUUCUAGGGAACACUUUGGAGUACUUGUAGUCCGGUUUGUCCAUAAAAAAGCCGUCUGUGUUUUUAUGUUUUGAAAAGACAUGUGGAGAAGCCCACAGCAUGUCCUGUCAGGCAUCUUAUCCUUGAAGAAACAGCAGGCAGCAUCAGUGUCACCCACGUACUGUCCCCACCCCCGCCACCCUUUGAGAAGUGUCUUGGGGCUGUCUCCAGCCAAAUCAGCACUGUGCUUCUUGAUUCAUGCCCUGGACUGUUUGCGAAGACAUCUGAAUUAUAAUAUGUAGCGGGGGAAGCACCGUCUGGCUGUCCCAUCUUGACUGAUGUUUCUGCAUCCCACCUUGCUUAAUCAGGAGCAGGAGCCAGGGAUGCUGGGCAGGGGCAGGGGUGCUGGAUGGGCGUGGGCAUGCUGGGUGGGAGUCGAGUUGGUGGACUGAGGCGGGGAUGCUGGGUGGGUGCUGGUUCAUGCCUUCCCUGUGUCAGGUCUCCCUCCUUGGAGCCAUCCCCUUGCUUUGGUUCCCAGGCAGCAGGGGCGAAUGGUAUUCCUUCCACCUCCUUUGUCUUUGUCAAACCCACCACCCUUUCCAGCAGCACGGAUAUUUCAUUAUCUGCUGCUGUUAUGUUGUGAUCAUGGAUCCCCCAGCUGUGCUCAAAACCACCUCCCUCUUGAGAAACACAAGGAGGUGGUUUUACCAGCAGAAUCUGGUGUGUGUGUGUACACAUGUGUGCUUUCCCCAUGCACACAUGCGUCCAUGCUCAUACACUCGUGCACAGUUGGCGCCGUUGGCAGCUCAAGGUGAAGCCCUCCCGCUCCGGAUGACCUGGGACUCAGCUGUGAGGUGGAGCUGGCAAGAAUUUUGCCACCCAGUUGUUAAACACACACUGUUAAAACUUGAGUUACACAAACUUACCAUUAAAUAAAUUAUAUUCGAAACAACGUUGUGAAAUAAUCCAAGCGCAGUUCUUCCCAGUGAUUUUACGACCCCUGACGGUCUUCAUCUGCGCUCCUGAGCUUGUCUGCCCUGGAUGGCAGAAGUGCCCAGGGCUCUGCCCAGCCCUGCGUCCAGUGACAUCGUCUUGCCAGCUUGAAGAAGCCGUGGCAGGAGUAUUGACACCGCAGAAACAGGCAAAAAAACCACAAACCAAGCCUUGGUUGAUUGUUUCUUUUGUAUUGUCGUGGCUUCAGACAAUAAUUAUAACAUUAAUAAUGAAGAUUAACUACAAGGGUGUCCUGACCAGAAUGAUGCAUAAUGAAUAUUAUUAAAAAAGAGGAAAUACCCCCUCAGCAUAUUAAAAACAUAUUAUUACCAAACUCAGUAAAGAAGCUGCUCAGGCCAUUGAAGAAUGAGCACCGAUCCCAAAUAGGUCCAUCUGGAUGGUUUCACUUUCAUCUUACCAUUAACUUGAAAGUGUGAACCAAGCUUCUGGGUUGUGGAUGCGAGAGACUAAAAUCAGGGAAAGCCCCAGGUGAGAGUCAGUUGGCUCCGUGAAAUUUAUAAUGAAGAGUGUUGCCUGUUUUCACUUGUAAAUUGUGUGCCAACGUCUUUUAUAUCACUCAGUUUUAGAAUAAGCAUGUAUAGGGUUGGCCCUUCAUAUCCACGGGCCCCAGAUUCAAUCAGUGUUUGGUUGAUCACAAAUAUUUGGGGAAAAAAAUUCCAGAAAUAGCAAAAAGGCAAGCUUGAAUUGGCCACACGCUGGCAACUGCUUCCAUAGCAUAUACAUUGCGUUUGCAGCUAUUUAUCUAGCAUUUACAUUGCAUUCGGUAUUAAAAGUAAGCUGGAGAUUAAAGUGUAGGAAAGGCUGUGCUUAGGUUUUGUGCAAAUGCGAUAGCAUCUUUUGUAAGGAACAUCUGUGCGUGCAGAUUUUGGUGUCUCGGUGGAGGGGGGUCCCGGAACCAGUCCCGGGGUAGUCUGCAGGGCUGGAUUUGUAUUUCGAGGCAGGCUUUUCUUUUUGGAGAGCCACUGGUGCUCAGUCACUGUUCACCUGCAGAAAAUGUUUGCGGAUUCAUUGAGAUGGCCUGUGCAGAUGGGCCUGCUCCAGUGCCUGGCACAAAGCUACCACGAUGGCCAUGGUCGUGAGCGUUAUCUCCACCCUUGUCACCAUCAGAGGGAACAAGGUGACAGGUGCCAGCAUGGCAUGUCCAGGAGCAGAGUCACCCAGUGUGAUGGGCCGCCCAGUGUGCCUGGGGGAAAUGGCUCGCCCGCCAUCCCAGGAUGUUCAUUUUCCCAGAGCCAAAACCUCCCAAGGCCGGUAAGCAGCAGGCCCGCCCCUUCCUUGUGUUAUGCUUCCAACAGGCAGUUCCGAAAGCAGAGGAAGCAGGCGGUGGCCGUCGCCCAUGUUCGGGUGGCCAGUUGCCUCCCGCCUCCCCACCACCCCUCGCACCUGCUCUCCGAAUGCAGAGACCGUUUCUGUCCCGAAUCAAACCGUUCAUCAGGGUUUACAGGUACGCCUUCUGCCCAGACACCCUGACUCCGCAAGAAGGAUCUGAAAUCUUCUGAGAGCUCUCAAACGACGUGCACCUGAAAUGUCCACCUGAAAACAAAAAAGAUGCAGGAUGACACCUGGCCGCCCUGUGGAAAAGGAUCGGGGCCUGCCAGGGCUCUUAGGCAUCACCGGCCGUCUGCUGUGUGGGGUGCUUAAUAGUUUCAAGAGCUCAGGGUCCCGGCUGCCAGGCCUGUUGCCUAGGACAGGCCCAGGCCCAUGGAACAAGCAGCUUCGGAGCAAUCGCAGUACCUCCUGGCUUCCGUAGCCUCCUCUGUUUCUUGUUAUUCUAGUUGAGUACUGCGUUCAGACAGAGGUUGCCAAUAAAGUUUAUUGUAGGAGCCGCGUGUCAAUAUCUGUUGUACCCCCCGCCUAGGGUGCUUGUAAUUAAAAUGCCACAGAUAGUCUGGGAGAGGCAUGAAAAUUUGAUGGCACAUUGAUUUCAGGUUCAUCUUGAAAUUUGUCCUCCGCUGGACUCGAUACGCCAGGCAGAUGCGGGGUGGCUUUUGUCAGGGGGGCCCUGCUGCAAUGAGACAGAGCGGUCUCGAUCUGAAUAUUAAAUACAACUCGCUGCUUAUGACAGAUGACUCCUUGGGCGCUGAAACACGCCGCACUCCUCUGUGCCCAUUCUUCUCCACGGAAUGUGUAAGAUAGGCUCACACAGAUGCACUUUACACGUGAAAAGAACUUGUAAGAAAGUCUCUGGGCAAAAGAAAGAAAGAGUUUUGAGAAAUGCUGGCUUCAAACCCAGGAUAGUCUGUCCAGUAUUCCAAACGUAGAAAUGUUCCUUGGAUCUGAUUUAAGAAAGCUGGAAAAAUAAUGGUAACGAAGAUAAUAGCAUCAUCAAGGAUCACGGCCCUGCAGGUUUUCCUCAGAAUGGCGUGUUAUAGAAAAGCAAAGGAAGCUGUGUGAGUGGGGUAAACAGUCCCAAUAUUUAAUGUUAUAAAUUGCUGGUUCCUGUAAACUCGCAUUUAUGCAUCCCAUUAGAAAAGCCAUUAUCCUUAUGUAUUGUUCAUGCAGAAAUGCACUGUGAAUAUAAUACAAUUUUAAAAGUGUAUUUGUUUUCAGAAUUUAAUUUGAAAAAGGUUUGAGGGAAAAAUAAUGUGGAGUUUUGAGUGUUUUUAAUUUUAAAAAUGCGUUGUUCAGUUGAGUUAAAUGUGCUCAAGAAAAACGCAUUUUAUUACCUGAAACUGUUUAUUUGGCAAUUAAUUGUAUUUACUCUAGAAUUCAGUGGGUGAUUAGAAAUGGAUUUGAAAAGAGCAGUGCUCACAUGGAGAACAUUCAUGCAUUCUUUAAGCAAAUAAGAAUUGAAUCCUGGAGUUCCCACUGUGGCCCAGCAGGUUACAGACCUGGUGUUGUCUCUGCAGUGGCUUGGGUGCCUGCUGAGGCACGGGUUCAAUCCCUGCCCGGGGAACAACCAUAUGCUGCGGGUGCAGCUGGGGUGAUGGUGGGAGGGAUUGAGUCCCUACUGUCCGCAGGGCAAAAGUGGAUGAGAAAAGAUUUCUAGGCCAGACGUCUAUGAGCCGCAUGUCCCAGGCUACCUGUCACUCUGCAUAAGCGGUGCCUCAAUUAAUUUUUCAAAAACGCCUGAGCUAGUGAUGCCAAAGUCUGAGCGACUCCCUGGAAAACAAAUGAAGGGGAUGCGUUCACUCCUUCUGAAGUGGAAUUUUCGAAUGGGAACAGAAGCAGUGCCCUUCACUUCGGGAUGGAAGCAUCUGUUCGGCGUCUCUCGCAGGGAGACUCGAGACGCGCGUCUCGCUCAGGGUGAUGUCUCGGGCAGGCCCGGGGACUAAGGCCCGUCAGCGGAACGAGCCCGGCAGAUGCUCCUGGGUCGUCAAAGUCACUCCUUGGCACAUUCAGGAGAUAUUUAUGGAUCUUUUAUUAGGGCAGUUUUUAUGGCCCAAGAUUAAAAGUUGGAAGUUAAAUAGUAAAAGUAAUGAAGAUGGGCCUUCGGAGGAUCCAACCGGUUUGUGUUUUCAUUCCCUCCGUUUGCCAAGGCCCAUUGAAUUUUGAUGAUAGUGUUUUAAAAAAAAAAA